Mugil cephalus (flathead mullet) is the source of this 1510-nucleotide long non-coding RNA. RefSeq lists it as uncharacterized. NCBI's taxonomy places the organism in Eukaryota, Metazoa, Chordata, Actinopteri, Mugiliformes, Mugilidae. The transcript is spliced from 4 exons. The record is from RefSeq and is a predicted model, not a curated record.
GAUCAUGACACUGCACUCCACUCAUCUGAGCUGAGCGAGCACGGAGUCUGCAGCUCUACGACACGCUUACAAGUCAACCACAAAACCAUGGCCACAGUCACCAUUGAAUACUGUAAAGGAUGAAGUUACGCGUAUCGCUACCAGGAACUAGUUGGCUUUCUCAGACAGGUUCCUGGUCUGCAGGUGAAUGGCGUCACAGGAGCACCAAACAGCUUUGAGGUGUCCCUGAAUGGAGAGCUGAUCUACUCCAAGCUGGAGACGGGAGAGUUUCCUAACGCUGAGGAGAUGACGGAGAAGGUGAGAGGGAUGGUUCCCGGAGGACACAAGAAGAAAAAGUCCAAGCUGAAUAUCAAGAAAUGCACCGUUAAUUAGUGGGAGAAGGACGAAACAACAGCUGUAUUUACACCGACAGAACCAUGGAUGACAUGUGUGUGCGUCUCUCAACAAAAUUAAUCAGACCAGACAUCAUAACAUGCAAACCUAAGUAAUCAUUGGCCUUAAAGGAAAAGUGUCAGACCAAAUGUUGUGACCAGGCACUGACGUUGAUGAGAGCGUGUCGUAGGAUCCUGGCUCUGAUUUGCUUCUGUCUAUGAAUGUACGCACUGAAACAGCUGUGUGGUGCGUGCACGAUGCAACUAGAAGCUUUUCAGCCGAGCAGGGCCUGAACACGUGCUCUCAUCGCGUCCGUGUGCCGUGGAUAGGGAGCCGAAGGAAACUUGUGUUCACAUUUACUGUGUAAUGGUAUUUAUAAUAUAGUAAUUUUUCCAAAUACACUUUUUACGUUCUCGUUCUGCGUCAGUUUAAUGAGAAGCCUCUCGUGUGUGUAUAGUAAAUAUAAAACUACCAGCAAGCACAGCGUAGCUUAGCAACUGUUUGCUUUCUGAACAAUCUGACCCGUUUUUACAUGCACAUAUUAAACCUUUGUAUAGUGUGUAAUAAACAUUACAAAAGGCUGUAAAUUGAAUUGUGAUAAAUGACAUGCUGGUGCAGGCCGAGGAAAUGCAGCCGUUUCCUAAUGCUAAGCUAUGCUAACUGGCGGCUAUAGCCGUAGCAUCACAUUAAUAACGCGUCAGUCUUCUUUUGCCAAAAUGUUCCUUUCAUGCUAAUUUUAUUUGAGCUUUCAGUGUUUUCAAAAAGUAAAAAGAUACGGCACGACACACGAGCUGAGACUUCACGAACUUGAAUGCUUUCUUCUCUUACGAAUGUUUUAUAUUAGUUUUACAAGUAUUUUAUGAAGUUACAGUCCCGUGUCAUAUGUACCAUGAUGUAACAUGGGGCCUUUACCUGGAGUGAAGUGCAGAAGUGAAGACGCAGGCGCUGUGUGUGUCCUGCCCUUUGUUACUAUUCUGACAUUUUAGCUGUCGAGGCAACUCUUUAGUGACAAAAAACACAUUUAAUUUGAUGUGACUGUAAUUAAAUUUUUUUUGAAGUUUUUACUAUGCAGUUAAACUGUCAUUUUGUAACCCUAAUGCAAACAAACGUAAUAAAGUACCACUGAUUGCUUGUCGAA